UGGAUCCAGACUUUGAUUAUGGCUCAGGAUGAACGCUGGCGGCGUGCCUAACACAUGCAAGUCGAACGGAACCACCUCGAUGAGAUUCCUCGGAAUGGAUUUGACCUGGUUCAGUGGCGGACGGGUGAGUAACGCGUGGGUAACCUGCCCCAUACAGGGGGAUAACAGCUGGAAACGGCUGUUAGUACCGCAUAAGCGCACGGUACCGCAUGGUACCGUGUGAAAAACUCCGGUGGUAUGGGAUGGACCCGCGCCUGAUUAGCUGGUUGGCGGGGUAACGGUCCACUAAGGCGGCGAUCAGUAGCCGGCCUGAGAGGGUGACCGGCCACAUUGGGACUGAGACACGGCCCAAACUCCUACGGGAGGCAGCAGUGGGGAAUACUGCACAAUGGGGGAAACCCCGAUGCAGCGACGCCGCGUGAGCGAAGAAGUAUUUCGGUAUGUAAAGCUCUGUCAGCAGGGAGGAAAAUGACGGUACCUGACCAAGAAGCCCCGGCUAACUACGUGCCAGCAGCCGCGGUAAUACGUAGGGGGCAAGCGUUAUCCGGAUUUACUGGGUGUAAAGGGAGCGCAGGCGGUCCUGCAAGUCUGGUGUGAAAGCCCGGGGCUUAACCCCGGGACUGCAUUGGAAACUGCGGGACUUGAGUGUCGGAGGGGCAAGUGGAAUUCCUAGUGUAGCGGUGAAAUGCGUAGAUAUUAGGAGGAACACCAGUGGCGAAGGCGGCUUGCUGGACGACAACUGACGCUGAGACUCGAAAGCGUGGGGAGCAAACAGGAUUAGAUACCCUGGUAGUCCACGCCGUAAACGAUGAAUACCAGGUGUCGGGGGGCAAGGCCCCCGGUGCCGCAGCAAACGCAGUAAGUAUUCCACCUGGGGAGUACGUUCGCAAGAAUGCAACUCAAAGGAAUUGACGGA
This 916-nucleotide ribosomal RNA is filed under the name uncultured Bacillota bacterium. RNAcentral describes it as "bacterial SSU rRNA". It matches the Rfam family "Bacterial small subunit ribosomal RNA", at positions 1 to 917 of the family's 1533-position model. The record is from RNAcentral. Lineage: Bacteria; Bacillati; Bacillota.